RNAcentral lists this transfer RNA (90 nucleotides) under Actinokineospora sp. NBRC 105648. RNAcentral's name for it is "tRNA-Pyl". Lineage: Bacteria; Bacillati; Actinomycetota; Actinomycetes; Pseudonocardiales; Pseudonocardiaceae. The record is from RNAcentral.
CGGUCUGUGGGUGUGGACCGGCCCGCGCCCCGCCCUAGCCGGGGGUGGUCGCCGCGGGCCGUUUCGCCGGGUCUUGCCCGGCCUGGCCGA